UGUUGGUGCUUCUCUCUUAUGUUGGCAAAUAUUUAGUUUGUGCCCCAUUUUCUCCUCAGUUCUGAAAUACUGAUAUCAAAUUCUCGAAAAUCUUCCCGCUUUUUUCUCCAGGUGUAUGACCGAGAUCAGGGUUCUUAUCGUACUGAGCAUGGCCCUGGUCUGCCAGGCGCUGCAGAGACCCCAGGCUACAGACUAACGUCCACGUUUGCUCCAGAUCAUCCCGUCCUCCCAGGGGGCAGGAAAUGGCUGCAAUGGAGCUGGCUCAGGGGCCGGUGACCUUCGAGGAG
Molecule: long non-coding RNA, 287 nt
Organism: Mauremys reevesii (Reeves's turtle)
Lineage: Eukaryota; Metazoa; Chordata; Testudines; Geoemydidae
Exons: 3
Source: RefSeq, a predicted model, not a curated record